Molecule: non-coding RNA, 91 nt
Organism: Parascedosporium putredinis
Lineage: Eukaryota; Fungi; Ascomycota; Sordariomycetes; Microascales; Microascaceae
Source: the annotation of a GenBank genome assembly
GGUUCGAUGGUGUAGUUGGUUAUCACGCUUGUCUAACAUUCUUCCAAAUGCUGGACACAAGAGGUCCCCAGUUCGAGCCUGGGUCGAAUCA